AUUGAACGCUGGCGGCAUGCCUUACACAUGCAAGUCGAACGGCAGCAUGAUCUAGCUUGCUAGAUUGAUGGCGAGUGGCGAACGGGUGAGUAAUACAUCGGAACGUGCCCUGUAGUGGGGGAUAACUAGUCGAAAGAUUAGCUAAUACCGCAUACGACCUGAGGGUGAAAGUGGGGGACCGCAAGGCCUCAUGCUAUAGGAGCGGCCGAUGUCUGAUUAGCUAGUUGGUGGGGUAAAGGCCCACCAAGGCGACGAUCAGUAGCUGGUCUGAGAGGACGAUCAGCCACACUGGGACUGAGACACGGCCCAGACUCCUACGGGAGGCAGCAGUGGGGAAUUUUGGACAAUGGGGGCAACCCUGAUCCAGCAAUGCCGCGUGUGUGAAGAAGGCCUUCGGGUUGUAAAGCACGUUUGUCCGGAAAGAAAUCGCACUUACUAAUAUUAGGUGUGGAUGACGGUACCGGAAGAAUAAGGACCGGCUAACUACGUG
RNAcentral lists this ribosomal RNA (490 nucleotides) under uncultured bacterium. RNAcentral's name for it is "partial 16S ribosomal RNA". It matches the Rfam family "Bacterial small subunit ribosomal RNA", at positions 30 to 507 of the family's 1533-position model. The record is from RNAcentral.